AGGUAUAGCUCAGCUGGUCAGAGCGCUUGCUUGACAUGCAAGAGGUCACUGGUUCAAAUCCAGUUAUCUUC
Molecule: transfer RNA, 71 nt
Filed under: human gut metagenome
Rfam family: tRNA
About the family: Transfer RNA (tRNA) molecules are approximately 80 nucleotides in length. Their secondary structure includes four short double-helical elements and three loops (D, anti-codon, and T loops).
Source: RNAcentral